This 138-nucleotide transfer RNA is filed under the name Candidatus Woesearchaeota archaeon. RNAcentral's name for it is "tRNA-Gly". The stretch from base 74 to 130 matches the Rfam family "tRNA", at positions 10 to 63 of the family's 71-position model. The record is from RNAcentral. Lineage: Archaea; Nanobdellati; Candidatus Woesearchaeota.
GCAUCUGUAGUUAUUUGGCUUGUCAGUAACAUCCAAUUCUCUCUUUUUACAUUUUUUACAUGGUCUCAUCUUUAUAAAAUAUGGCUUAUAUUUCGGCCUUCCAAGUCGAAGACCCGGGUUCAAAUCCCGGCUGAUGCA